Molecule: ribosomal RNA, 253 nt
Filed under: uncultured bacterium
Lineage: Bacteria
Description: partial 16S ribosomal RNA
Rfam family: Bacterial small subunit ribosomal RNA
Source: RNAcentral
UACUGAGGGUGCGAGCGUUGUUCGGAAUUACUGGGCGUAAAGCGUGCGCAGGCGGUUGUGCAAGACAGAUGUGAAAUCCCCGGGCUUAACCUGGGAAUUGCAUUUGUGACUGCACGGCUAGAGUGUGUCAGAGGGGGGUAGAAUUCCACGUGUAGCAGUGAAAUGCGUAGAUAUGUGGAGGAAUACCGAUGGCGAAGGCAGCCCCCUGGGAUAACACUGACGCUCAUGCACGAAGGCGUGGGGAGCAAACAGG